CUCAAAGGAAUUGACGGGGGCCCGCACAAGCGGUGGAGCAUGUGGUUUAAUUCGAUGAUACGCGAGGAACCUUACCAGGGCUUAAAUGUAGUCUGACAGGUCUGGAAACAGACUUUUCUUCGGACAGAUUACAAGGUGCUGCAUGGUUGUCGUCAGCUCGUGCCGUGAGGUGUCAGGUUAAGUCCUAUAACGAGCGCAACCCCUGUGGUUAGUUGCCAGCGAGUAAUGUCGGGAACUCUAGCCAGACUGCCGGUGCAAACCGCGAGGAAGGUGGGGAUGACGUCAAAUCAUCACGGCCCUUACGUCCUGGGCCACACACGUGCUACAAUGGUAGGGACAGAGAGCAGCCACUUCGCGAGAAGGAGCGAAUCUACAAACCCUAUCACAGUUCGGAUCGCAGUCUGCAACUCGACUGCGUGAAGCUGGAAUCGCUAGUAAUCGCAUAUCAGCCAUGAUGCGGUGAAUACGUUCCCGGGCCUUGUACACACCGCCCGUCAAGCCAUGGAAGCCGGGGGUACCUGAAGUCGGUCACCGCAAGGAGCCGCCUAGGGUAAAACUGGUAACUGGGGCUAAGUCGUAACAAGGUAACCGUA
RNAcentral lists this ribosomal RNA (593 nucleotides) under uncultured bacterium. RNAcentral describes it as "bacterial SSU rRNA". It matches the Rfam family "Bacterial small subunit ribosomal RNA", at positions 900 to 1504 of the family's 1533-position model. The record is from RNAcentral.